GCUGAUAUGGCCGAGUCGUUAAGGCGAGUGAUUCGAAUCUAUCUCGUUAUCACUUGGGCAUUGCCCGCGUAGGUUCAAAUCCUACUGUCAGCG
Molecule: non-coding RNA, 93 nt
Organism: Abortiporus biennis
Lineage: Eukaryota; Fungi; Basidiomycota; Agaricomycetes; Polyporales; Podoscyphaceae
Source: the annotation of a GenBank genome assembly